RNAcentral lists this ribosomal RNA (500 nucleotides) under uncultured bacterium. RNAcentral describes it as "partial 16S ribosomal RNA". It matches the Rfam family "Bacterial small subunit ribosomal RNA", at positions 30 to 523 of the family's 1533-position model. The record is from RNAcentral.
AUUGAACGCUGGCGGAAUGCUUUACACAUGCAAGUCGAACGGCAGCACGGACUUCGGUCUGGUGGCGAGUGGCGAACGGGUGAGUAAUGUAUCGGAACGUGCCCAGUCGUGGGGGAUAACGUAGUGAAAAUUACGCUAAUACCGCAUACGAUCUAUGGAUGAAAGCGGGGGAUCGCAAGACCUCGCGCGAUUGGAGCGGCAGAUAUCAGAUUAGGUAGUUGGUGGGGUAAAGGCCCACCAAGCCAACGAUCUGUAGCUGGUAUGAGAGGACGACCAGCCACACUGGAACUGAGACACGGUCCAGACUCCUACGGGAGGCAGCAGUGGGGAAUUUUGGACAAUGGGCGAAAGCCUGAUCCAGCCAUUCCGCGUGCAGGAUGAAGGCCCUCGGGUUGUAAACUGCUUUUGUACAGAACGAAAAGGUUUCUACUAAUACUAGGAGCUCAUGACGGUACUGUAAGAAUAAGCACCGGCUAACUACGUGCCAGCAGCCGCGGUAA